This 747-nucleotide ribosomal RNA is filed under the name Leclercia adecarboxylata. RNAcentral describes it as "bacterial SSU rRNA". It matches the Rfam family "Bacterial small subunit ribosomal RNA", at positions 39 to 781 of the family's 1533-position model. The record is from RNAcentral. Lineage: Bacteria; Pseudomonadati; Pseudomonadota; Gammaproteobacteria; Enterobacterales; Enterobacteriaceae.
UCGGCAGCUACACAUGCAGUCGAACGGUAGCACAGAGAGCUUGCUCUCGGGUGACGAGUGGCGGACGGGUGAGUAAUGUCUGGGAAACUGCCUGAUGGAGGGGGAUAACUACUGGAAACGGUAGCUAAUACCGCAAAACGUCGCAGGACCAAAGAGGGGGACCUUCGGGCCUCUUGCCAUCAGAUGUGCCCAGAUGGGAUUAGCUAGUAGGUGGGGUAACGGCUCACCUAGGCGACGAUCCCUAGCUGGUCUGAGAGGAUGACCAGCCACACUGGAACUGAGACACGGUCCAGACUCCUACGGGAGGCAGCAGUGGGGAAUAUUGCACAAUGGGCGCAAGCCUGAUGCAGCCAUGCCGCGUGUAUGAAGAAGGCCUUCGGGUUGUAAAGUACUUUCAGCGGGGAGGAAGGUGUUGUGGUUAAUAACCACAGCAAUUGACGUUACCCGCAGAAGAAGCACCGGCUAACUCCGUGCCAGCAGCCGCGGUAAUACGGAGGGUGCAAGCGUUAAUCGGAAUUACUGGGCGUAAAGCGCACGCAGGCGGUCUGUCAAGUCGGAUGUGAAAUCCCCGGGCUCAACCUGGGAACUGCAUUCGAAACUGGCAGGCUGGAGUCUUGUAGAGGGGGGUAGAAUUCCAGGUGUAGCGGUGAAAUGCGUAGAGAUCUGGAGGAAUACCGGUGGCGAAGGCGGCCCCCUGGACAAAGACUGACGCUCAGGUGCGAAAGCGUGGGGGAGCAAACAGGUUAG